This is a non-coding RNA of Podarcis lilfordi (Lilford's wall lizard), 5426 nucleotides long. The record is from the annotation of a GenBank genome assembly. Lineage: Eukaryota; Metazoa; Chordata; Lepidosauria; Squamata; Lacertidae.
GGUUUGAAGUUGGUUGGUUUCUGCUAACCACAGCUAAGCCAUAGCUAAGCUUGGUCUAGGGAGUGCAUCUUCUCCUGCUUCCCUGCUUCAUGUCACACAGUUAACUUGAUACAUGCAUGGAGCUUCUACCCACACAAUGGCUCCAACAGUGACUUCAGUGCAACUCUUCCCUUCGUGCCUGUUGAACUACCCUCAGCAUUGAAGUCAAAGAGAAAGUCUUCACAUAAAUGGCCUCAAUGGAUCAAGUCCUAGUGCAGAGAGUUGGCAUAACAGUUCAGAGAGGAGCACUUUUCAUAUGUUCUUUUUGCAUUCAGUGAACAUCCAUGGGAGGUGUAGCAUUACAGGAACAGGUUGUGUCCUUGACUUGUACAUGUUCACUGAAAGACAGGGAUAAUGGGAACUAUAGAAACUGUCAUCCUUGUCCAUGGGCCAUGUUUGUUGGGGCCAGUGGGAGUUCGAAUCCAACAACAUCUGGAGGGCCAAAGAUUAUUCACCUCUCCUCUAAAUGUUUUUGUGUUGCGACUUUGCUAAUCUUAAUGGCCUGCACUCUCUUUCUUUUCCUGGUUCAUUGUGAUUUCACUUUUUCAACCUUCUUUUUCAAAAUGUGUCUUUCUGCUCAUUAAGGAGCCAAAUUGCUGGGAGGCUGCCUUGCUUAAAGGCAUUGUCUGUCCAUCCAUCUGACGGAAUUGAUAAAUAGAUCCAAGAAUUGUGGGUCGUAACUGAAGCCGUUUGAUGCUUUGUUAUUUCAGGGUUGAUGUGCUAAGAUGUAUCGAUUUCAACAAAGUUUAACAACAUUCAGUUACAACUAGCAAUCACACAUGCUUGCUUUGCCUCAGCUGUCUUAAAUCCCAGUCUUCACCCUCCAACUGCUGGCUGCUAAACCUAGUGCUUAGUGAGACAGAGAGCUCUGCUUCAUAGAUCUGUGAUAGAAAAAAAAAUCAGGGCUCCAGCUUUCAAGAAUAAUAGCUCUUUAAUUCCAUGAUAAAAUUGACUAAGGGACUUGGAGCUUUGGACGGUUUUACACAAAGCAUGUUCAUCGUUAAUCAAUGUAGAAUUGCAUUUGUAGUUUGCAUGGGAGAUUCAGCCAGUGCAAAUGGGUCUUCCAUGCUGAAUGACAUAAACUUAUACAUAAUACUUCUAAAUGGAAGUUGUGAGAUGGAAACUAUACACCUGUUCAACUGUGAGUACUCAGUAAUCAGAAGAUGGAAGACCUACAGUACAAUUCUGUGUAAUUCUACUUAGAAGCAAAUCCUAUAAUGUCCAGUGGGACUUACCUAAGAUUAAGUGUCACAUACCAGGUUCACUUUUGCUUCUGUGUGGGCUUCAAAAAGUGACAGAGCCUUUGGAUUUGGAUAUGGAAGACCAGAAUCAGACUGGGGAUUGAGCUAAGAGCUAAAAACGAAGCAGCAAUUCAUGCCCUAUAGUAGGGCUUCGUUCAUUGGGACGGGACAGGAUAAGUUGGUGGCAAGAUCUGGGUAGUUCUUGCCUACCCAGAUUGCUCAUAUUGUAAAGAUAGUUCGUGACACUGAAAAGGCUAGAUGCACUUGAAUUAGCAGAGUUAUACUCUACCUGACCCCCUGUAGAAGAAUACCACAGUAAAAUAAUGAGUAUCGGAAGCUUACUAUGUUUGGUAAGAAAAAUAUGAAACCGGAAAUGGAGUAAUGUAAGUAGCAACUGGUUUUAUAUUUGGUGUCCUUCUCUUAUGACUCUUCCCUUUUCUUCUGGCCAUGUAAAUACCAUGAUAUACAGCUGGGACCGCCAACCUUUUGGGGCCAAUGGGCACACUUGGAAUGUUGAAGAGGUGCCAUGGGUGCUAGUAGCAAAAUGGCUGCUGUUAGGGUGUGUGUGUGGUAUAAAGCAAAAUGGCUGCCAUGGGGAAGUGUAUGAGAAUCCGAGACGGUGAAAACAAGAACUGAGCAGGAACAGCAGUCUCUCAUACAUAGUUGAUUUUUGAGGGAAUAUUUACUGAGAGCUUGUUGUGGGUGCCAUAGGAAGCGCUGGCAGGCAUAUUGGUGCCCACAUGUACUGUGCUGAGGAACCCUGCACUGCAGUAAUCAAAAUGACUCCUGUUUAACAACAGCUGUAAUACAUGAAUAUUCGCUCUCUCAGUGUGUAUAUUAGAAUGCAGUUACUUAACUCAUAUUGAACAGUGUUCAUAUUUAUGAUAAUCCACCUUAAAUGCUUUCUCUUUUCCAUCCAGAAUGUGAUUAUUAAUGAGUGAAACUGCAGUGUGUGACUCUAUAAAAACAGAUAAAAAGAGGCCUACCUACUGUGCCCAUCUCUGGAGCCUGAUGAAACUACAAACAGUAAACACAAGCAGCUCAUAAUCUUAAUCAGUAUAGUUGAAGGCACUGAUUGCUCAUGUGUAAAAGCUCAUCAAGCGUAAAGAAACAGAACAGAGAGUUAAUAGAAACAGCCUGAUGUACAAUGCCAACCCCUAGUUAUUUCAUUCUGCUUCCAGAAGCAACCUGCAAAAUUAUAGCAGUAUGUCUAAUUACUGCCUGUCAGAGCAGCAGGCGUCCAACAGGAGAGGAAUUAAUUGAUAUUACUCUAAGGGAUUUUCCAGACGAUGUUUUUUUAUUGUGCAAUAAAUGCACAGUUGUUCAGUUGUGGGGGGAUCCAGAUGUCUUUCCGCGUGUAGUACGACUUCUGUGGAGAAACGGCAUUACCAAACAGUGUGCCUUUAUUAGGGGGAGAAUGGGAUGUUAACCUAAAUGCAUGCGGAGGGUGGGGUGCUGGAAGAAAAGCUGUAGCUCAGUGGCAGAGCACAUGAUAAAGUCAUAAUAAAGUCCCAGGUUAAAUCUCUGGCAUUUCCAGGUAAGGCUCAGUUUUACACCAUGGAGAACUACUGCCAGCCAAUGUAGACAAGUGAUUAGGAACUUGUGGCCCUUCAAAUGUUGCUGAACUACAUCUCCCAUCAGCCCUGACUGUUGGCCAAGCUGACUGGGGUGGAUAGGAGCUGAAAUACCGCAACACAUGGAGGACCACAGGUUCCCUGUUGCGUAGGCUGUACUUAGCUUGAUGAACCAAUGGUAUUUUUCUAGGUUCCUCGCUUCAUGAGUGUCCCAAACAUCUAUUGGCUAGUGACAUACUGAUGACUCUUCCUUCUAUGCCACUUUAUGAACUAAUUUUAAAAGGGGGUAGUUUGGUUUUUUUUAAUGGUUUUAUGCAGUCUAUAAUCUGAACCAUGGGUAGGCAAACUAAGGCCCGGGGACUGGAUCUGGCCAAAUCGCCUUCUAAAUAAGGGCCCCUGAUGGUCUGGGAAUCAGUGUGUUUUUACAUGAGUAGAAUGUGUCCUUUUAUUUAAAAUGCAUCUCUGGGUUAUUUGUGGGGCAUAGGAAUUCAUUCAUUCCCUCCCCCCCAAAAAAAUAUAGUCUGGCCCCCCACAAGGUCUGAGGGACAGUGGACCAGCCCCCUGCUGAAAAAGUUUGCUGACCUCUUAUCUGAGCACAUACAGACAUACAUUUUGGCAAGGAAACAUUCCUGCAUCUUUUAGAGAAAAUAAAUGUGAACCUGUAAGAAAUGGCUGCAGUUUGAACCUAAGGACCUUGCCUUCUGGCAUAAAGAACUUCAUAUGCGACUGUAUACAGCAUCAAAGUUGUGUACAACAUGUAGCUGGGAUUCUCCCACACAACCUCCUAAAUAACAGUGGAUUUAGAAUUUGGGAUGCUCUGGUUUUGCACAAACUUAUUCAGGAAGUGCAAUAAAAGGGAAUCCAAAUAUAUAUUUUUAAAGGAAGAUACUAUAGUGUCAUGGUUUCCAUUCAUUUUCUGUAGAACCUCUUCAAGCUGAAUACUGAUUCUUUUUUCUUUCUUUUUGAAAGGUGGGUGUGGAAAUGAUGGGGCUCAAAACUAGAGCUACCUGGUGGUAGGAAAUGGCCACUGACAACAGAAUCAACAACGAAAAUCCAAGGCCUAUUUGUAUGUUCAGCUGUAGAAUUUACACACACACACACACACACACACACACACACACACACACAGUAGGGUAAUUAAGUAAAUUGUCAGGACUAGAAUUAUUCUGAAAUAAUUGCACCUCAGCUGUCAAAAGAAUAAACUGCGUUCCAUACUGCCACUGCACAGUUUGAAUGGUACUGGCAGUAUUUAUGUUGACGAUGUUGUUGUUGCUGCUAUUGUUGUUAGCUUAAAUUUAUAUCUUUCUCCCGGGUAACAACAAUUUGAAAACUAAAGUUUUAAAAGUAGAACAAUUUACAGUCAAACACAGUCUAAAACAAGAGGUGACAGCAAUUAUCAAGAUACAGGUAUACGCUAACAAAAUUACAGCAGAAGCUAUCAAAACAGAAGCAGGUAUGUCCAACAGAAUACCUCUUAUCAGUCUCUACUAAAGUCCUGGCAGAAUAAAAAUGUUUUGGCAACAAAAAAUGGGCAGAUGAUGCCAGUCAUACUUCAGAAAGGAGGGAGUUGCGUUGCUGGGGUGCUGUCAUGGGAAAAGCCCCUUUUCAGGUUAUCACGCAGCUAUUGUUCUUUGACUGCCUUCAAGGGUAGCCCCACAUAAAGUGCAGGAAAAUGAUCUGUUCUGGAGGUUACCAAGGCAUGGACAAAUGUGGCCAGACAUAGGUUUUCUGGGUUUAGUCUUGAACAUAUAGAACCAGCAGAAAAAAGGAUAUUCAACUGAACUUUGAACUAAGCCCUGAAUUCUAUUUCAAAAAUUACAUGAAGCUUGGUAAAUACCAACAAACUCUCCCCUGCCAUCAUUGAAUAAACUACUCCUCCUGCCUCAGUUGAGCUCAUUUGGAAAAAGUGAAUCAUAGGCUUAAAUGUUCCAUUGAAAUCAAUGGGAGUUAAGAGUGCUGAACUUUGGCCAAGCCAUAUAAUGCACCCUUGUGUUCCAGUUGUGCAGCAUAUAUCUCCUGUGUAACAGAGCCAGUGUGAUGUAAACUGUGCUGGACUUCAAAUGGGACUCCUUAGGUUUUAUCCCCACUCAGUCACAAUGCCUAGUUUUGUUGGGGAAAUGUGCCAUGUGUACUACUCUCAGCUCCUAAGAUUCGAUUGAUUUGAUUUAUUGUAUUACUAUUCUGCUUUUCACUCACAAGAUUUGCAAAGCGGCUUGCAAACAAUAAAUAACCACAACAUAAUAGAGCAUCACAAAUGCAACGUAAAUUAUAUAGCAUAAUUAACAAAUCACCAGUGAAACAAUUGCAAAUUGUCAGUAAAACAAUUACAGUGGACACUCGGGUUGCGAACGUGAUCCGUGCGGGAAGCACGUCUGCAACCCACAGCAUCCGCAAGCCACAGUGCCGCAUCUGCGCACCCGCGGGUUGCGAUUCGGUGCUUCGGCACAUGCGCUGAAACCCAUAAGUAACCCGUUCCGGUACUUCUGGGUUCGGCGCGGUGCGCCACCCGAAAUCACACAACCCAAAGCGUCUGUAACCCGAGGUAUGACUGUACAAUCUGUCAAACACUAUU